Molecule: ribosomal RNA, 447 nt
Filed under: uncultured bacterium
Lineage: Bacteria
Description: bacterial SSU rRNA
Rfam family: Bacterial small subunit ribosomal RNA
Source: RNAcentral
UCGGGAAUUUUGGGCAAUGGGCGCAAGCCUGAUCCAGCCAUGCCGCGUGAACGAUGAAGGCCUUAGGGUUGUAAAGUUCUUUUGUCAGGGAAGAUAAUGACGGUACCUGAAGAAUAAGCACCGGCUAACUUCGUGCCAGCAGCCGCGGUAAUACGAAGGGUGCUAGCGUUGUUCGGAAUCACUGGGCGUAAAGCGCGCGUAGGCGGCGAUAUAAGUCAGAGGUGAAAGCCUGGAGCUCAACUCCAGAACUGCCUUUGAAACUAUAUUGCUAGAGUGUCGGAGGGGAUAGCGGAAUUGCUAAUGUAGAGGUGAAAUUCGUAGAUAUUAGCAGGAACACCGGUGGCGAAGGCGGCUAUCUGGACGACAACUGACGCUGAGGCGCGAAAGCGUGGGGAUCAAACAGGAUUAGAUACCCCCGUAGUCCCUGAGCGGGCUGGCAAGGCGCAU